GGCCUCACAGCUGAGAUGGUAGAGCGUGCGCUGUACAGAAACGUAGGCGGUGUCUAUGUGUGGGUUCAAAUCCCACCGAGGCCA
Molecule: transfer RNA, 84 nt
Filed under: Echinostoma caproni
Lineage: Eukaryota; Metazoa; Platyhelminthes; Trematoda; Plagiorchiida; Echinostomatidae
Rfam family: tRNA
About the family: Transfer RNA (tRNA) molecules are approximately 80 nucleotides in length. Their secondary structure includes four short double-helical elements and three loops (D, anti-codon, and T loops).
Source: Rfam by way of RNAcentral